RNAcentral lists this ribosomal RNA (327 nucleotides) under Triticum aestivum (bread wheat). Its description in RNAcentral is "partial small subunit ribosomal RNA". Lineage: Eukaryota; Viridiplantae; Streptophyta; Magnoliopsida; Poales; Poaceae. The record is from RNAcentral.
AUGGUACAAAAGAAGAACUUCCAGCCCAACAAGUUCAAAAAUAACAAGAACAAAACUCAGGGCAAAGGCAAGUUUGAUGCAAAGAACAAGCCGUCACAUCCUACCAACUUCAAGAAGAAUUCUCAUAAGAAGGGGAAGGGACUAUGCCAUGUCUGCGGUGAUCCUAAUCACUGGGCUUCGAGAUGUCAUAACUGCUUUGAGGAGCGCAGACUUGAGAAAAGCGGCAAGUCCGUUAAUGUUGCCAUCGGUGAUACUGAUAUGAAGGAAUCUAGGGACUUCUCCCGUGCUGAUGGGGAAUGGGUCACAUGCCAUUGUUCGAGGUGUUAG